GACGAACGCUGGCGGCGCGCCUAACACAUGCAAGUCGAACGAGCGAGAGAGAGCUUGCUUUCUCGAGCGAGUGGCGAACGGGUGAGUAACGCGUGAGGAACCUGCCUCAAAGAGGGGGACAACAGUUGGAAACGACUGCUAAUACCGCAUAAGCCCACGGUGCCGCAUGGCACAGAGGGAAAAGGAGCAAUCCGCUUUGAGAUGGCCUCGCGUCCGAUUAGCUAGUUGGUGAGGUAAUGGCCCACCAAGGCGACGAUCGGUAGCCGGACUGAGAGGUUGAACGGCCACAGUGGGACUGAGACACGGCCCAGACUCCUACGGGAGGCAGCAGUGGGGAAUAUUGCACAAUGGGGGAAACCCUGAUGCAGCGACGCCGCGUGGAGGAAGAAGGUCUUCGGAUUGUAAACUCCUGUUGUUGGGGAAGAUAAUGACGGUACCCAACAAGGAAGUGACGGCUAACUACGUG
RNAcentral lists this ribosomal RNA (466 nucleotides) under uncultured bacterium. RNAcentral describes it as "partial 16S ribosomal RNA". It matches the Rfam family "Bacterial small subunit ribosomal RNA", at positions 28 to 507 of the family's 1533-position model. The record is from RNAcentral.